This 252-nucleotide ribosomal RNA is filed under the name uncultured bacterium. RNAcentral describes it as "partial 16S ribosomal RNA". It matches the Rfam family "Bacterial small subunit ribosomal RNA", at positions 524 to 776 of the family's 1533-position model. The record is from RNAcentral.
UACGUAGGGAGCAAGCGUUGUCCGGAAUUAUUGGGCGUAAAGCGCGCGCAGGCGGAUCAGUCAGUCGGACUUAAAAGUUCGGGGCUUAACUAGGGGAUGCGUUUGAAACUGCUGAGCUAGAGUAUUGGAGAGGAAAGUGGAAUUCCUAGUGUAGCGGUGAAAUGCGUAGAUAUUAGGAAGAACACCAGUGGCGAAGGCGACUUUCUGGACGAAAACUGACGCUGAGGUACGAAAGCCAGGGGAGCAAACAGG